GACGAACGCUGGCGGCGUGCUUAACACAUGCAAGUCGAACGGAAAGGACCUGCUUUUGUGGGGUGCUCGAGUGGCGAACGGGUGAGUAGCACGUGAGUAACCUGCCCUUGACUUUGGGAUAACUUCAGGAAACUGGGGCUAAUAACGGAUAGGAGCUCCUGCUGCAUGGUGGGGGUUGGAAAGUUUCGGCGGUUGGGGAUGGACUCGCGGCUUAUCAGCUUGUUGGUGGGGUAGUGGCUUACCAAGGCUUUGACGGGUAGCCGGCCUGAGAGGGUGACCGGCCACAUUGGGACUGAGAUACGGCCCAGACUCCUACGGGAGGCAGCAGUGGGGAAUAUUGCACAAUGGGCGGAAGCCUGAUGCAGCAACGCCGCGUGCGGGAUGACGGCCUUCGGGUUGUAAACCGCUUUCGCCUGUGACGAAGCGUGAGUGACGGUAAUGGGUAAAGAAGCACCGGCUAACUACGUG
This 468-nucleotide ribosomal RNA is filed under the name uncultured bacterium. RNAcentral describes it as "partial 16S ribosomal RNA". It matches the Rfam family "Bacterial small subunit ribosomal RNA", at positions 28 to 507 of the family's 1533-position model. The record is from RNAcentral.